Molecule: long non-coding RNA, 1661 nt
Filed under: Mus musculus (house mouse)
Lineage: Eukaryota; Metazoa; Chordata; Mammalia; Rodentia; Muridae
Description: RIKEN cDNA A730020E08 gene (A730020E08Rik)
Source: RNAcentral
ACCGCCCCCGCCCCCGCUCCGCAACCGGAGCUCGCGCCAACUCUGCGACCGAGACCCCCGGAUUGCAGGAGCGGGCCACGCCGCGCAGUGCCCACGCCCGCCAGGAGUUAUUGCAGUAUUCUGUCUGGGUCUUUCCGUGUCAUCCGCCCCACGAUCGUCUUGACAACUCUGUAGCUAACAAGGUGUUGCUCUUUAUGAUGGCUGCUAUCCCGUGAAAGCUGCCAAUGGGUAACUGAGGAGAAGAGAAGCAAUUCAUGCCGAGCAGGACUGGAUGAGAAAUUGGAUCAAGAUUGACUCAGCUGCAAUUCUGGGUCCAGAAAACACCAAAUAUGUAGUCUUGAUGUGGAAGCACAUUGAUUGUGAUAAUCAUCCAGAUAAUAAGGCACAGAAGACAAGAAAAAUUAUUUUUUUCCUAAGCAUACUUGUGAUAACUCUUGCUUAGUAAUGUGUGUGUAUAUGUGAAAAGGCAGAGAAAAGGGAAGAGAGACAGGAAGAGAGAGGGGGAGGUAAUUACCAUGUUUGAUUAAUUUAGUUUAUCUGAUCACAAUAUUUUUUUUAAUUUACCAAAUUAGUGAGUUAAUCUUUUAAUGUUAUCUAUUUCCAAAAAACUGGGCUUUGAGUUUCCUAUUGUAUAUGGUCCUAGCACCUACAUAGUAAUACAUAUUUCAUUCAAACAGACAGUUGUUGACACACUGAAAAGCAUCAUCUAAAUUAUCCCUAAGAACAGUAUCUUGAUAAAAUUUGAAAGUAACCUAAACAUAUGUAUAGGUAUAAAUAUAGCAAUAGCAAGAAUAAAACUGAAAAGAGAACAUAUUUGUACUACUUGAAUAUAUAAUAAGCAAACAACACUAAUAAGAGUCUAAGCCACAUUAUACCAGUACUCUGGGAAGCUGGAAACUGGUUUUACCAUCUGUCAGCUUCUAUACUGGCAGCAUCACAAAUGAGACCUCUUUUGAACAAAACAUCACAGCAGGAGCCACAGACAUGUGAAUUGUAAUUAACACGUGAAAAUGCAUUUCAUAGCUUUUGUCAUUUAUAGAAAACAUAUUGUGAAUUUUUGAUUUAUAAAAUUAUAUCAAAUGUAAGCCAUUUUAAUUUUCCAAACUUAUACACUAUUUCAUCAAAACUUUGGCCUUUACCAACAGUGAGUAUUCCUUAGGUCUGGUUCACUCUUUAAUGAGGAUCAAUUAUUUCCUAAUCAUUCAGGUACAGAAGAUGAACAAAAAUAUAAAUCUGCUGAGGACAAAUAGUAUUGUUUUACAUUUAUUUAAUAGUAUUUUCUACAAUAAAAACUAUUUUCUAUAAUAAAAAGGUAUAUUCCUGGCCAGGCGGUGGUGGCGCACUCCUUUAAUCCCAGCACUUGGGAGGCAGAGGCAAGCAGAUUUCUGAGUGCGAGGCUAGCCUGGUCUACAAAGUGAGUUCCAGGACAGCCAGGACUAUACAGAGAAACCCUGUCUCAAAAAAAAAAAAAAAAAAAAAAACCUGAGAAAUAUAAAGUCAAAUCAAAUCCUCAAACCUAAUAAAAUUUUUUCCUCCCUUUCAUACCUAAGAGAACAAAAAUAUUCUAGUUUCUUAGCUCUUUCAUACCUGAAAACCCAAAUGCACAGCUCAUGAGAUGUAACUGUUGUGUUACACACAUUAAACAAAUGUUCAAAAAUAGC